GCUUUUCCUGUGCGGCGAUUCUGAAUUGUCUUUUAGGUUUUUUUUUCAGGGGUGCAGAAUCGGAGUAUCGGCUGAUUUACGUUUCUUUUUUUUUCUCGGAAAUCCUGGUUUACCCUCUAGGCCAUGGAGAAAGCAAGCCUGAAGCAUUUGGAGUUUCAGCUGCAGCGAGAGAAAGCGUUAACCAAAGAUCUGGACGCAAGAUGCAAAUUACUGUCGGCACAGGUUGCUCAGCUGGAGCAAGAUAAAGCCGAGCUUCGGCGCGAAAAGCUGUUUCUGGGCGAGGAGGCAAAAAAGACCUCAAAGCUAGAUGAUCGCGUUCACAUCCUUCAGAAAGAAGUGGAGAAUCGCGACGCAGUCAUCGCAGCCGAGCGGGCGCUGACGCAGGCUGCGAGGGCGGAGGCAGAAGAAAUUCGGCGCAACGCAAAUGCUUCUAUCGCUCUAUGGACCGCGGCUGAAGAGCAGUGGACAGUGGAGCAGACUGCAUUAAACGAGGCUGCUGCCCAGUGCCGUUCGCAGAUCGAUGAUUUGAAGAAGGAAGUUCAAGUUCAAGGGGACGCACGCGCCGAACUGGCGAAGCAGCUGCAUACAGAAAAGGAGCGCUCGAACAGGCUGACGCAAGCGCGAGAGGCCAUGGAGGUAGAGGUCAAGAGUCUGCACUCUCAGGUGGAGAAAUUGCAGAAUAAGGUUUGUGAUCUCGAGCAAACGGUUUUCAAGCUAGAUCUUGCCGGGGAUAAGCAACGCGAGGUGAUUAACCUGAAAGACACAGAGAUCAAAACUCUGGAGGCCACUAUUGCGCGGCAUAUAGAAGCAGAAGAGCGACUAGAGCAAACGAUCAGCUCCCUUAAUGAUCGCAUCAACGCGGCAAAGAUGAUGAACCUGGAGGGCAAAUGUGAGAACGAAAAGCUGCAGUGUGACCUUGUAGACGCCAAAAAGGAGGUCGAGCGUCUCCAUCUUCAGGCGGAGUCGCUGAAGCGUGACUCUAACUUUCUUUCACAGAGCCAUUCUAGCGUGCAAAAGGCCCUGGAGGAUUUGAAGGAGAAGCAUCGGCAGCUCCAGGAGGACAUGAGAGACAAAAAUGUCGAAAUUCGCCGGCAUGAACUCACGAUCAGUCAGUUGAAUAUGGAGCUCAAAAAGAGUGAAAAUCAGGGGGGCGAAUGGUCAUUUCAGUACUCGACACUGGAGACUGAGCUCCAGCAGACGAAGGAGGCGUUGAGGAAAUCAUCGGCGUCUGUCGAGACACUCCUGCGCGAAAACAGUGAGCUUGUGGAGCGGUUGAAGGAGCAGAGGCAGCUCACGGAGACAAAGGAGGAGGAGAUGGUUGUGUUGCAGAGCCAAUGCGACGAGCGAGCCGAGGCCUUCUCGCGAGAUAUUAGAGACCUGGAAAAGGAGAUCACAGCACGCCAGGCUGUGAUUAAUGAGUUGUCCGACCAACUCAAUUCCGCAAGCGAGAAAAACGCGGUGUAUCAUUCCAAAAUUCUCGAGGAAUCAGAAGCAAACGGGAAAAUGCGGCAGCAUCGUGCUGAAAUGCUGCAGCGGCUGGAGUCAAACGAACAUCACAUUUUUUUUCUGGACUGCGUUGUCGAGAAGGAAAAGAUUUUUUCCUCCUUUUUAGCAUAUUGGAACGAGGCCCCAAUGUUGUUGUGUGCGAAUCUUGUGGGGCACUGCCAGAUGCUGCAAGGGAAGACAUGUGUGCUACUUGAGCAUGAAGAAGAGCUUUCUCGCGAGAGCUGCUUAAAGACGUCGCAGCUGAAGGAGCUGCAGUGUCAGAAUGAAGAUCAGAGGGAGCAAAUCGCAUUUUUGCAACGGGAGAGAAACACGCAAGCUGAACGUCUUUCGGUACUUUCGCGGGAAAGUCUCGCUUCUGAAAAGGAAGCUAAAGAACUUCGAGGCGCCUUGGAGGCUUCACGGAACGAGAAUCUUUCCCUCACAUCAGCGGUGGCUGCUCUCCAUGAGCAAGUUGUUGCAAAGGAUGCUGAGCUUGUGCGAAAGAACGCCGCGCUAACAGACUCUCAAUCCCUUGUUUACGCUUUCUCGGAUGCCGUGUCUACCUUGGAGGGGGCUAUUCUUCGUUACGCUAUGGCGCAGAUGGAGGAAGUGCAGGACCUUUGGAAGAACCGCCUAGAAGCGGUAGGGCUGCAUUUCACUUCUCUUGUGUCGCACUUGGUUGCCGAAAAGGCGUUGCUGCAGUGCUCGAAGGAGCAGGCAGAAGCCUCGUGCCGCGAAUUGUCUGCGUUUGCGAAAGAAGCGAAAAUUUCGAUGAACAAAAGCGACCUUGCUGCUGCAGAGCGACAGGAAGCGCUGACGAGUCGCGCGGCUCUCCUGGAAGGGCAAAUUGCCGUGGCACGCCGAGAAAAAGAUCAGGCAGCCAUGCAACUGGCGUCUUUGCUGCGACGAUUUGAGGCGGACAGGAACUCUUUUGAGUCGUUCAAGAGAGAAGCAAAAUGCACAAUGGAGGAAGAGCGAGAGCGGCGUGAGGCAGUGGAGAAGGAGUGCGUGAAGCUGCGUGGCUGUAUUGAUGCCGAGGUGAAGCGGAAGUGUGAGUACAAACAGGCUCUAGAGAAUCUGAAAAAGCUGCGUAGCGAGAGUGAGGAGCUGCGUCGUGCUGAAAAAGCGCGUGCUGCAGAGGCGAUAGGGAAAGCUAACAUCGAAUGUAACUAUUGGGUAAAGUGCUUCGAUCAUCUCAAGGAGAUGAUUGAGAAGAGUCAUCGCACAGGUGAUCGUUUGCCGUCUAUCGACACAGAUACGAUUCACCGCUUGGAGGUUGCGAAAACCAAGAUCAGCCCUAUGCAGGCGCGCGAGGUGAACAAAGCGCUUUCGAGCCUUCCAAAAUUGAAACGCGUACGAGAAGAGGCCUCUGGCGCCCCUACGUAGAGGGAUCGUUACCAACUCCCUUUUUUCAUCUGUUUCCUGCUUUUCUCAUGGGCGCGGGCGACUGGACUGUAUACUGCUUUUUUAUCUGCCUCAUGCUCUGCAUUUUUCUUUAGAAUUUGAUUCUCGAUGUUCUACUUUUUACUUAGAUGCUAUUUUUCCUUUUCUAGAUUUGUGCCCACGUCAUAUGAAGAGAAAC
This 3067-nucleotide unclassified non-coding RNA is filed under the name Leishmania donovani. RNAcentral's name for it is "gene:LdHU3.05.0040(CDS-product:hypothetical_prote in_conserved)". The record is from RNAcentral. Lineage: Eukaryota; Euglenozoa; Kinetoplastea; Trypanosomatida; Trypanosomatidae.